This 658-nucleotide ribosomal RNA is filed under the name Cladophialophora matsushimae. Its description in RNAcentral is "eukaryotic LSU rRNA". It matches the Rfam family "Eukaryotic large subunit ribosomal RNA", at positions 83 to 761 of the family's 3401-position model. The record is from RNAcentral. Lineage: Eukaryota; Fungi; Ascomycota; Eurotiomycetes; Chaetothyriales; Herpotrichiellaceae.
GUAACGGCGAGUGAAGCGGCAACAGCUCAAAUUUGAAAUCUGGCCUCUUGGGGCUCGAGUUGUAAUUUGUAGAGGAUGUUUUGGGUACCGCCCCGGUUUAAAUUUCUUGGAACAGAAUGUCAAAGAGGGUGAGAAUCCCGUCUUGGACCGGCGGUAGGGCCUGUGUAAAACUCCUUCGACGAGUCGAGUUGUUUGGGAAUGCAGCUCAAAAUGGGUGGUAAAUUUCAUCUAAAGCUAAAUAUUGGCCAGAGACCGAUAGCGCACAAGUAGAGUGAUCGAAAGAUGAAAAGCACUUUGAAAAGAGAGUUAAACAGUAUGUGAAAUUGUUGAAAGGGAAGCGCUUGCAACCAGACUUGUACGCGGUGGUUCCUCUCGCCUUUUGGCGCGGGUACUCCGUCACGUUCAGGCCAACAUCGGUUUUGGGGGCCAGUUAAAGGCCCUGGGAAUGUACCUACCCACGGGUAGACUUAUAGACCAGGGUGUCAUGUGGCCUCCCGGGACCGAGGAACGCGCUUCGGCUCGGAUGUUGGCGUAAUGGUUGUCAGCGACCCGUCUUGAAACACGGACCAAGGAGUCUAGCAUCUACGCGAGUGUUUGGGUGUCAAACCCGGAACGCGGAAUGAAAGUGAACGGAGGUAGGAAGCUUCGGCUGCACUAU